RNAcentral lists this ribosomal RNA (406 nucleotides) under uncultured bacterium. RNAcentral describes it as "partial 16S ribosomal RNA". It matches the Rfam family "Bacterial small subunit ribosomal RNA", at positions 29 to 526 of the family's 1533-position model. The record is from RNAcentral.
AUUGAACGCUGGCGGCAGGCCUAACACAUGCAAGUCGAGCGAGCGGCGGACGGGUGAGUAAUGCCUAGGAAUCUGCCUGGUAGUGGGGGCUAACGUCCGGAAACGGGCGCUAAUACCGCAUACCAUCAAAUGUGCCCAGAUGGGAUUAGCGUGUUGGUGGGGUAACGGCUCACCAAGGCGACGAUACAUAGCUGGUCUGAGAGGAUGACCAGACACACUGGAACUGAGACAAGGUCCAGACUCCUACGUGAGGCAGCAGGGGGGAAUAGUGCACAAUGGGCGCAAUCGUGAUGCAGCCAUGCCGCGUGUAUGAAGAAGGCCUUCGGGUUGUAAAGUACUGUCAGCGGGGAGGCGUUACCCGCAGAAGAAGCACCGGCUAACUCCGGGCCAGCAGCCGCGGGAAUAC